This 311-nucleotide ribosomal RNA is filed under the name uncultured bacterium. RNAcentral describes it as "bacterial SSU rRNA". It matches the Rfam family "Bacterial small subunit ribosomal RNA", at positions 30 to 342 of the family's 1533-position model. The record is from RNAcentral.
AUUGAACGCUGGCGGCAUGCCUUACACAUGCAAGUCGAACGGCAGCACGGGAGCAAUCCUGGUGGCGAGUGGCGAACGGGUGAGUAAUAUAUCGGAACGUGCCCAGUCUGGGGGAUAACGUAGCGAAAGCUACGCUAAUACCGCAUACGAUCUAUGGAUGAAAGCGGGGGAUCGCAAGACCUCGCGCGAUUGGAGCGGCCGAUAUCAGAUUAGGUAGUUGGUGAGGUAAAGGCUCGCCAAGCCGACGAUCUGUAGCUGGUCUGAGAGGACGACCAGCCACACUGGGACUGAGACACGGCCCAGACUCCUAC